AACGAACGCUGGCGGCGUGUCUUAAGCAUGCAAGUCGAGCGGCAAGCGGUAGCAAUACCGCCUAGAGCGGCGGACUGGUGAGUAACGCGUGGGUGAUCUGCCCUUGGGAUGGGGAUAGCCAUUAGAAAUAGUGGGUAAUACCGAAUACGUUCCCCCGUGUAAAGGCGGGGGAGGAAAGGCGCUACGGCGCCACCCGAGGAUGAGCUCGCGUCCCAUUAGCUAGUUGGUGGGGUAAUGGCCUACCAAGGCGAUGAUGGGUAGCCGGCCUGAGAGGGUGUACGGCCACACUGGGACUGAGAUACGGCCCAGACUCCUACGGGAGGCUG
This 326-nucleotide ribosomal RNA is filed under the name uncultured Spirochaetota bacterium. Its description in RNAcentral is "bacterial SSU rRNA". It matches the Rfam family "Bacterial small subunit ribosomal RNA", at positions 29 to 351 of the family's 1533-position model. Lineage: Bacteria; Pseudomonadati; Spirochaetota. The record is from RNAcentral.